CCUACGGGUGGCAGCAGUGAGGAAUAUUGGUCAAUGGCCGGAAGGCUGAACCAGCCAUGCCGCGUGAAGGUCAGUGCCCUAUGGGCGUUAAACUUCUUUUGUGCGGGAGCAAUAAUGGUCACGUGUGGCCAGACGAGAGUACCGUACGAAUAAGCAUCGGCUAACUCCGUGCCAGCAGCCGCGGUAAUACGGGGGAUGCAAGCGUUAUCCGGAUUUAUUGGGUUUAAAGGGUGCGUAGGCUGGGAGGUAAGUCAGCGGUGAAAUGCCCCCGCGCAACGGGGUGAAGUGCCAUUGAUACUGCCUGGCUGGAGUGCGGAUGCCGUGGGAGGAAUCUGUGGUGUAGCGGUGAAAUGCAUAGAUAUCACACAGAACACCGAUUGCGAAGGCAUCUCACGAAUCCGCGAUUGACGCUGAUGCACGAAAGCGUGGGUAUCAAACAGGAUUAGAUACCCCUGUAGUC
RNAcentral lists this ribosomal RNA (460 nucleotides) under uncultured bacterium. RNAcentral's name for it is "partial 16S ribosomal RNA". It matches the Rfam family "Bacterial small subunit ribosomal RNA", at positions 338 to 795 of the family's 1533-position model. The record is from RNAcentral.